CGACCGGCGCACGGGUGAGUAAUGCGUAUCCAACCUUCCCAUUACUGUGGGAUAACCUGCCGAAAGGCAGACUAAUACCGCAUAGUCUUCGAUGACGGCAUCAGAUUUGAAGUAAAGAUUUAUCGGUAAUGGAUGGGGAUGCGUCUGAUUAGCUUGUUGGCGGGGUAACGGCCCACCAAGGCGACGAUCAGUAGGGGUUCUGAGAGGAAGGUCCCCCACAUUGGAACUGAGACACGGUCCAAACUCCUACGGGAGGCAGCAGUC
RNAcentral lists this ribosomal RNA (264 nucleotides) under uncultured Prevotella sp. RNAcentral describes it as "partial 16S ribosomal RNA". It matches the Rfam family "Bacterial small subunit ribosomal RNA", at positions 92 to 355 of the family's 1533-position model. Lineage: Bacteria; Pseudomonadati; Bacteroidota; Bacteroidia; Bacteroidales; Prevotellaceae. The record is from RNAcentral.